GACGAACGCUGGCGGCGUGCCUAAUACAUGCAAGUCGAGCGGACCGAUGGGAGCUUGCUCCUUUAGGUUAGCGGCGGACGGGUGAGUAACACGUGGGCAACCUGCCCUGGAGUGGGGGACAACAGUUGGAAACGACUGCUAAUACCGCAUAAGCCCACGGCCCGGUAUCGGGUUGAGGGAAAAGGAUUUAUUCGCUCCAGGAUGGACUCGCGUCCAAUUAGCUAGUUGGUGAGGUAACGGCUCACCAAGGCGACGAUUGGUAGCCGGACUGAGAGGUUGAACGGCCACAUUGGGACUGAGACACGGCCCAG
Molecule: ribosomal RNA, 311 nt
Filed under: uncultured bacterium
Lineage: Bacteria
Description: bacterial SSU rRNA
Rfam family: Bacterial small subunit ribosomal RNA
Source: RNAcentral